CAGCCGCCACGGUAAUACAGAGGGUGCGAGCGUUAAUCGGAUUUACUGGGCGUAAAGCGUGCGCAGGCGGCUUUUUAAGUCGGAUGUGAAAUCCCUGAGCUUAACUUAGGAAUUGCAUUCGAUACUGGGAAGCUAGAGUAUGGGAGAGGAUGGUAGAAUUCCAGGUGUAGCGGUGAAAUGCGUAGAGAUCUGGAGGAAUACCGAUGGCGAAGGCAGCCAUCUGGCCUAAUACUGACGCUGAGGUACGAAAGCAUGGGGAGCAAACAGGAUUAGAUACCCCCGUAGUCCCUGUCUCUUAUAA
RNAcentral lists this ribosomal RNA (301 nucleotides) under uncultured bacterium. Its description in RNAcentral is "partial 16S ribosomal RNA". It matches the Rfam family "Bacterial small subunit ribosomal RNA", at positions 509 to 809 of the family's 1533-position model. The record is from RNAcentral.